CUCGCACACACGCAGAGGCACGGGAGGGAAAGAAGCCGAUGAAUAAUUUUGCUAUUUUUUAAAAUACUGGCCGCCAUCAUCAAGCAGCGAGCAGCAGCAGAAGCGUUGAAGGGAGAGGAGGCAUCGGGACAGGCCCCUCUUAGGAGAGGAUUUAUAUCUAGUUGGAAAAAAAAAGAAAGAAAAGAAAAAGAAGAAAAAGAAGAAAAAAAUUGUCAAGCCCCCGAACUGAAGGUUACGAGCGGCCCGUCAGCAGCCCACAUGUAACCGAACUGUCGUGUUUCAUGGCUUUUUGCCACUCCAGCUGUCAAUCAAAGCCCGGAAUGUCAAGGUAGUGAAUGAAUGAUGGUUGAUGAUGAUGAAGAGGAGGAAUCUUUCAGACCCGUUUUUUUCUUCCAGUAAAACUCCGCGAGGGGUUUCUGCUUCUUGAAUUUUUUCCUCCCCCCUCCCCCCUUUUUUAGCUUUGCCCCCGCGGUAUCUAUAAUACGAUCCUCUCUCUUUAAAGUAUUGUUCAAAGAAAGCAGUGAGAAAAAUCAAGAAAAAAAAAUGAAUAGUUUGCAAAAAUUGGACUUCCUCCCCCCCUUUCCUGGACCAGAAGAGACCAGCUUAACUCAGAGCACACUCCCUCCAAGCGGUGCGGACAAGGGGCCAC
This 649-nucleotide long non-coding RNA is filed under the name Homo sapiens (human). RNAcentral's name for it is "HSALNT0380631". The record is from RNAcentral. Lineage: Eukaryota; Metazoa; Chordata; Mammalia; Primates; Hominidae.